This 693-nucleotide ribosomal RNA is filed under the name Streptomyces coelicoflavus. RNAcentral describes it as "bacterial SSU rRNA". It matches the Rfam family "Bacterial small subunit ribosomal RNA", at positions 49 to 758 of the family's 1533-position model. The record is from RNAcentral. Lineage: Bacteria; Bacillati; Actinomycetota; Actinomycetes; Kitasatosporales; Streptomycetaceae.
UUACCAUGCAGUCGAACGAUGAACCACCUUCGGGUGGGGAUUAGUGGCGAACGGGUGAGUAACACGUGGGCAAUCUGCCCUUCACUCUGGGACAAGCCCUGGAAACGGGGUCUAAUACCGGAUACUGACCUGCCAAGGCAUCUUGGCGGGUCGAAAGCUCCGGCGGUGAAGGAUGAGCCCGCGGCCUAUCAGCUUGUUGGUGAGGUAAUGGCUCACCAAGGCGACGACGGGUAGCCGGCCUGAGAGGGCGACCGGCCACACUGGGACUGAGACACGGCCCAGACUCCUACGGGAGGCAGCAGUGGGGAAUAUUGCACAAUGGGCGAAAGCCUGAUGCAGCGACGCCGCGUGAGGGAUGACGGCCUUCGGGUUGUAAACCUCUUUCAGCAGGGAAGAAGCGAAAGUGACGGUACCUGCAGAAGAAGCGCCGGCUAACUACGUGCCAGCAGCCGCGGUAAUACGUAGGGCGCAAGCGUUGUCCGGAAUUAUUGGGCGUAAAGAGCUCGUAGGCGGCUUGUCACGUCGGUUGUGAAAGCCCGGGGCUUAACCCCGGGUCUGCAGUCGAUACGGGCAGGCUAGAGUUCGGUAGGGGAGAUCGGAAUUCCUGGUGUAGCGGUGAAAUGCGCAGAUAUCAGGAGGAACACCGGUGGCGAAGGCGGAUCUCUGGGCCGAUACUGACGCUGAGGAGCGAAA